Molecule: ribosomal RNA, 501 nt
Filed under: uncultured bacterium
Lineage: Bacteria
Description: partial 16S ribosomal RNA
Rfam family: Bacterial small subunit ribosomal RNA
Source: RNAcentral
ACUCAAAUGAAUAGACGGGGGCCCGCACAAGCGGUGGAGCAUGUGGUUCAAUUCGACGCAACGCGAAGAACCUUACCUGGGCUCGAACGGCCGGUUAACGGAGGCGGAAACGCUUUUACCCCGCAAGGGGGUCCGGUCGAGGUGCUGCAUGGCUGUCGUCAGCUCGUGUCGUGAGAUGUUGGGUUAAGUCCCGCAACGAGCGCAACCCUUGUCCUGUGUUGCCAUGCCCGAAAGGGCGGAACUCGCAGGAGACCGCCAGCGAUAAGCUGGAGGAAGGUGGGGAUGACGUCAAGUCCUCAUGGCCUUUAUGUCCAGGGCUACACACGUGCUACAAUGGGCGGUACAAAGCGCCGCGAACCCGCGAGGGGGAGCCAAUCGCAGAAAACCGCUCUCAGUUCGGAUUGCAGGCUGCAACUCGCCUGCAUGAAGCUGGAAUCGCUAGUAAUGGCAGAUCAGCACGCUGCCGUGAAUACGUUCCCGGGCCUUGUACACACCGCCCGU